GACGAACGCUGGCGGCGUGCCUAAUACAUGCAAGUCGUGCGGACCUUGUUGAAAGCUUGCUUUUAAAAGGUUAGCGGCGGACGGGUGAGUAACACGUGGGCAACCUGCCUGUAAGACUGGGAUAACGCCGGGAAACCGGGGCUAAUACCAGAUCGUUUUUUCCUCCGCAUGGAGGAAAAAGGAAAGGCGGCUUCGGCUGCCACUUACAGAUGGGCCCGCGGCGCAUUAGCUAGUUGGCGGGGUAAUGGCCCACCAAGGCCACGAUGCCUAGCCGACCUGAGAGGGUGGUCGGCCACAUUGGGACUGAGACACGGCCCAAACUCCUACGGGAGGCAGCAGUAGGGAAUCUUCCGCAAUGGACGAAAGUCUGACGGAGCAACGCCGCGUGAGUGAAGAAGGCCUUCGGGUCGUAAAACUCUGUUGCCGGGGAAGAACAAGUGCCGUUCGAACAGGGCGGCGCCUUGACGGUACCCGGCCAGAAAGCCACGGCUAACUACGUG
This 500-nucleotide ribosomal RNA is filed under the name uncultured bacterium. RNAcentral describes it as "partial 16S ribosomal RNA". It matches the Rfam family "Bacterial small subunit ribosomal RNA", at positions 28 to 507 of the family's 1533-position model. The record is from RNAcentral.